This 558-nucleotide ribosomal RNA is filed under the name uncultured bacterium. RNAcentral's name for it is "partial 16S ribosomal RNA". It matches the Rfam family "Bacterial small subunit ribosomal RNA", at positions 355 to 932 of the family's 1533-position model. The record is from RNAcentral.
UGGGGAAUAUUGCACAAUGGGCGAAAGCCUGAUGCAGCGACGCCGCGUGAGGGAUGACGGCCUUCGGGUUGUAAACCUCUUUCAGCAGGGAAGAAGCGAAAGUGACGGUACCUGCAGAAGAAGCGCCGGCUAACUACGUGCCAGCAGCCGCGGUAAUACGUAGGGCGCAAGCGUUGUCCGGAAUUAUUGGGCGUAAAGAGCUCGUAGGCGGUUAGUCGCGUCUGCUGUGAAAACUCGAGGCUCAACCUCGGGCUUGCAGUGGGUACGGGCUGACUAGAGUGCGGUAGGGGUGACUGGAAUUCCUGGUGUAGCGGUGGAAUGCGCAGAUAUCAGGAGGAACACCGAUGGCGAAGGCAGGUCACUGGGCCGCAACCGACGCUGAGGGGCGAAAGCAUGGGGAGCGAACAGGAUUAGAUACCCUGGUAGUCCAUGCCGUAAACGUUGGGCACUAGGUGUGGGGUCCAUUCCACGGAUUCCGUGCCGCAGCAAACGCAUUAAGUGCCCCGCUGGGGAGUACGCCGCAAGCUAAACUCAAAGGAAUUGACGGGGUCAUAGCUG